Molecule: ribosomal RNA, 253 nt
Filed under: uncultured bacterium
Lineage: Bacteria
Description: partial 16S ribosomal RNA
Rfam family: Bacterial small subunit ribosomal RNA
Source: RNAcentral
GACAGAGGGUGCAAACGUUGUUCGGAAUUACUGGGCGUAAAGCGCGUGUAGGCUGCUUCGCAAGUCGGGUGUGAAAGCCCUGGGCUCAACCUAGGAAGUGCACUCGAAACUGCGAAGCUUGAGUCCUGGAGAGGAAGGCGGAAUUCUCGGUGUAGAGGUGAAAUUCGUAGAUAUCGAGAGGAACACCGGUGGCGAAGGCAGCCUUCUGGACAGUGACUGACGCUGAGACGCGAAAGCGUGGGGAGCAAACAGG